UCACCCAAUUUUCCAUGCAUAACCUCCAUUCAACAGAUGAUGAAUGACUGAAAACGUGAUCGCCGACACACGCAAACAUAAGUGGAUAUGUUCAAGAAUAGCUGAAUGCUGCACGUAACAUUUAAGCAGAAACGAGGCGACGGCUGCAACGACACGACUGUCGCCAGACUGUCGGUUGAGAGGCGGGACCAAAGAGCCGUACAAGCACAAUGGUGACUGUUGUGCCUAUAAGUUAUGAAGAUACGUCCGGGUGUGUUGCAGUUGGCCAGGAGGAGAUAUAUCACAGGAGACAUGAGAGUGGAAGGCUGUCUGGUCUGUGGGGUCCGUGUUAAUAUUCGUAACCCACCUCCAACACCACCUUGAAAGGCUGUGUGGUCCGUGGGGUCCGUGUUAAUAUUCGUAACCCACCUCCAACACCACCUUGAAAGGCUGUGUGGUCCGUGGGGUCCGUGUUAAUAUUCGUAACCCACCUCCAACACCACCUUGAAAGGCUGUGUGGUCCGUGGGGUCCGUGUUAAUAUUCGUAAUCCACCACCAACACCAUCUUAGAAGCAUAAACCUGUUUCCUAAGUUUCGUAAAUUAUUACAGAUUAUUAAAAAAAAACUGAAGGUCUGUUAGCCCAUGUUGGCAGCCACAGUUGUUUCACAACCAAACUUGUUAAGAACAAUCCCGGUAUCCCUCGUUGAUAUUCCCCGGUAGUUUCUUCCAUAUAACACCAACAAUCUUCUCAAGCUAACAUUUCCCCGGGUUUAUUGUUAAUCUAAUCAUACCUUAAGUAUAUAUAUUUAAUGCCUGAUCUAUUUUGUUUUGACAAUUUUAAAACUUUUUACUGUACCUGAUGUGUAAUACCGUUUCACAAAGUUGUUUAAUUCAAUUAUGUUACCAUUUUACCUACUUGAAAUGUACAGUAAGCUUUCCUAAUCUCUGUUCAUAGGGGAAGUUUCUAAUUCCUAAAAAUCUUUACCAAUUUUAUCUGUAGUCGUUAAAGUGAAUGUCCAUUCAAUAUACAACGAUCAAAACGGUAUUACAUAAUCUAAAUAGAGGCAAAAAAUGAAAAUAAACCUAAAUAGUAACAAUAAAUGUUGAUAACGCUUUUAGAAAUGGUUACCCAUAUUUUGUAAUAUUUUAUACAUAAAGCCAUUGCAUAUAUAAACCAAGAUCCCUGUUGACAGGGUAUCUCAAUAUUUUAGCAUGUAAAUUCAUCAGUUUAAACAUUAUCCACCUGGUAACAUACUCAUGUUACCUAGGUUAAGAAUUAUCUGUCUAGCAUUAAAUUUCAUUU
Long non-coding RNA from Procambarus clarkii (red swamp crayfish), 1283 nucleotides. RefSeq lists it as uncharacterized. NCBI's taxonomy places the organism in Eukaryota, Metazoa, Arthropoda, Malacostraca, Decapoda, Cambaridae. The record is from RefSeq and is a predicted model, not a curated record.